AAGGUGGUUUAUUUNGAUGCAAAGCGGAAGAACCUAUCCUAUUUUUGACAUUCUNCAGAAGCCAGCGGAGACGCAGGUGUGCCUUCGGGAACUGUAAGACAGGUGCUGCAUGGCUGUCGUCAGCUCGUGUUGUGAAAUGUUGGGUUAAGUCCCGCAACGAGCGCAACCCUUAUCCUUGUUUGCCAGCACUUCGGGUGGGAACUCCAGGGAGACUGCCGGUGAUAAACCGGAGGAAGGUGGGGACGACGUCAAGUCAUCAUGGCCCUUACGAGUAGGGCUACACACGUGCUACAAUGGCGCAUACAGAGGGCGGCCAACUUGCGAAAGUGAGCGAAUCCCAAAAAGUGCGUCGUAGUCCGGAUUGGAGUCUGCAACUCGACUCCAUGAAGUCGGAAUCGCUAGUAAUCGUGGAUCAGAAUGCCACGGUGAAUACGUUCCCGGGCCUUGUACACACCGCCCGUCACACCAUGGGAGUGGGCUGCAAAAGAAGUGGGUAGUUUAACCUUCGGGAGGACGCUCACCACUUUGUGGUUCAUGACUGGGGUGAAGUCGUAACAAGGUAACCG
This 566-nucleotide ribosomal RNA is filed under the name uncultured bacterium. Its description in RNAcentral is "bacterial SSU rRNA". It matches the Rfam family "Bacterial small subunit ribosomal RNA", at positions 938 to 1502 of the family's 1533-position model. The record is from RNAcentral.